GAAGCCAGAUCAGAAAUUUCCAAAAAUGGAAACUGGACCUGUAACUGAAACUUACCAAAAAUGGAAAGUCUUGAUCCUCAAACUUACAUCAUGAUACAAGCCUCAAAUGAAUUUUUGCCCAACAUGAAAGUUGAAGAUCUUGUUCUCCCAUUUCCAAAAAGUCCAAGAACUCUCAAUUCCCAUGUGUGGUUGGCAAGUUAUGAUCGAAUCGAUUUCAGAAAAUCUUGAACUUCAAAGGGCCAUAUC
Molecule: long non-coding RNA, 246 nt
Filed under: Lathyrus oleraceus (garden pea)
Lineage: Eukaryota; Viridiplantae; Streptophyta; Magnoliopsida; Fabales; Fabaceae
Description: Pisum sativum (pea) long non-coding RNA (PSAT_LNC039592)
Source: RNAcentral